AGCGGACGCUGGCGGCAGGCCUAACACAUGCAAGUCGAACGGGCACCUUCGGGUGUCAGUGGCAGACGGGUGAGUAACACGUGGGAACGUGCCCUUUGGUUCGGAACAACUCCGGGAAACUGGAGCUAAUACCGGAUAAGCCCUUCGGGGGAAAGAUUUAUCGCCAAAGGAUCGGCCCGCGUCUGAUUAGCUUGUUGGUGAGGUAAUGGCUCACCAAGGCGACGAUCAGUAGCUGGUCUGAGAGGAUGAUCAGCCAGACUGGGACUGAGAACGGCCCAGACUCCUACGGGAGGCAGCAGUAGGGAAUUUUCCACAAUGGACGAAAGUCUGAUGGAGCAACGCCGCGUGCAGGAUGAAUGCCUUCGGGUUGUAAAC
This 375-nucleotide ribosomal RNA is filed under the name uncultured bacterium. RNAcentral describes it as "bacterial SSU rRNA". It matches the Rfam family "Bacterial small subunit ribosomal RNA", at positions 29 to 430 of the family's 1533-position model. The record is from RNAcentral.